GAUGAACGCUGGCGGCGUGCCUAAUACAUGCAAGUCGAGCGAACGGACGAGAAGCUUGCUUCUCUGACGUUAGCGGCGGACGGGUGAGUAACACGUGGAUAACCUACCUAUAAGACUGGGAUAACUUCGGGAAACCGGAGCUAAUACCGGAUAAUAUUUUGAACCGCAUGGUUCAAAAGUGAAAGACGGUCUUGCUGUCACUUAUAGAUGGAUCCGCGCCGCAUUAGCUAGUUGGUAAGGUAACGGCUUACCAAGGCAACGAUGCGUAGCCGACCUGAGAGGGUGAUCGGCCACACUGGAACUGAGACACGGUCCAGACUCCUACGGGAGGCAGCAGUAGGGAAUCUUCCGCAAUGGGCGAAAGCCUGACGGAGCAACGCCGCGUGAGUGAUGAAGGUCUUCGGAUCGUAAAACUCUGUUAUUAGGGAAGAACAUAUGUGUAAGUAACUGUGCACGUCUUGACGGUACCUAAUCAGAAAGCCACGGCUAACUACGUG
This 497-nucleotide ribosomal RNA is filed under the name uncultured bacterium. Its description in RNAcentral is "partial 16S ribosomal RNA". It matches the Rfam family "Bacterial small subunit ribosomal RNA", at positions 28 to 507 of the family's 1533-position model. The record is from RNAcentral.